GUAUUGGGAAGGCAGAUAAAAUGCCAGGUCUGGACUGCCUCUGGGGAUAACCUCACCCUGUGGGAUGUGAAUGAAUAGCAUCUUGCCUGGUAAAUCCACAGGAAUUGAUAAGGCGGGCGCAGUUCUCCCAAACAGGCCUUUUCUCUUUAAGCUCUAGCUGUGGUUUCUGCAGCAAUUUUGUUUUUGCCUUGAAAGAGGUGCUCUGGAUUAUCAGACCUCCAUGUAUGACAAUUUGUACCUGCAUGGAAUUGAAGACUCGGAGGCUGGUUCAGCGGAUUCCUACACAAGCAGGCCGUCUGACUCCGAUGUCUCUUUGGAAGAGGACCGGGAAGCAAUUCGACAGGAGAGAGAACAGCAAGCAGCUAUCCAGCUUGAGAGAGCAAAGUCCAAACCUGUAGCAUUUGCCGUGAAGACAAAUGUGAGCUACUGCGGCGCCCUGGACGAGGAUGUGCCUGUUCCAAGCACAGCUAUUUCCUUUGAUGCUAAAGACUUUCUACAUAUUAAAGAGAAAUAUAACAAUGAUUGGUGGAUAGGAAGGCUAGUGAAAGAGGGCUGUGAAAUUGGCUUCAUUCCAAGCCCACUCAGAUUGGAGAACAUACGGAUUCAGCAAGAACAAAAAAGAGGACGUUUUCAUGGAGGGAAAUCAAGUGGAAAUUCUUCUUCAAGUCUUGGAGAAAUGGUAUCUGGGACAUUUCGAGCAACUCCCACAUCAACAGCAAAACAGAAGCAAAAAGUGACGGAGCACAUUCCUCCUUAUGAUGUUGUGCCGUCAAUGCGUCCGGUGGUGUUAGUGGGGCCGUCACUGAAAGGUUACGAGGUACAAAUAUCAUCUGUUACUCUUCAGUUCUUGAUCGAGCACCCAGGAGACAGUCAUGUUGAUGCUUGCUCCUCAAGGGUCUGUUUCCACGUGGGUUCUGAUGGAAGCCAGUGCUCAGCAUGGGAAGGCAAUGGGUAUCGUGUGGGGCUCAUGAGGCCCUCUGCCCUUUCUUUCCUCUCUUGCACACUUCUCAUCUUUUAUGAAUUACAUUGUUUAGAAAUACCUCCCUCAAAAUAUUUACAAUGGGAAGAUCUGGUCAAAGAUUUGCUAUACAUUAAAUGCAAAGAAAAGGACUUUAUCUCUCUUGACCAUUCUCAUUAUUAUUAGAAGUAAUAGAGAAUGAACAGCACAAGAGGACAAACAAUCAAUCUUCCAGCAAACGCAAACCUUUAAAGCCCAGAGUUCACCCUGCUGGGUUUUUAAGAUGAUGGCAUAUGCCACCAAAUCCUUCUCUCCUUAUUUAUUUUAAAGGGCACAUGUUUUAAAAGACCACUAAAAACAUUAGUGAACUUUGGAGAUUAAACAAAACCAUGUGACAAGGAAAAGAGUAGAGACUUCGUUUCAGAUGUUUGUUUUGACUUUGUGCUAGCAUGGAUUAAAAAAUAGGUAGAUGUGACAUUAAACUCUGAAAGUGAGCAGCCUCCAGGGCACCAUUCCCGUCGAGCUAGGACAAUGUGUGGCACAUAGUAGGCACUCAGUACACAUUUGCUGAAUGAAUUAAUGAAUCUCUUUCAGGCAGAUCUAAGAAUCCUUGCUCUAUCCCCCUCUUUCUCUCUUGUCUUUCUCAGAGUUGGAAAUGUCAGAGGGAUGAGCAGGAGAGUGGUCUACAAAAAUCCAGCCAUGGGCAUGGAGAAUUUCUGCCAACAUACACAAACUAGCAGGAAGGCUGAGUCCAGUGCUGGCCUCAGUUCUCUAGCUGCUCCUCACUGAAGGCAGGCACAACUCAGGCGUGCCAAGGAUACCCAGCACCUGUGUACAAAGCCAGCCUGUUGUCUCCUGGCAGCAGUUCUAUCCCCUAACGAGGGAAGAGGGAAGAGGGUCUGGUGAACACUGCUGGUUUAUUCCUCAACACCCUGGAGGAGAACCAAGGGGGGUGGAAAUUAGCAAUUGCACAUGGUUAAGCAUGAAAAACACCUUCCAUGGUAACCUACCCCUAGGAGACGAAUGGCUGCAAUAAGGUCUUGGCUCAUAGUGCCCUUCCCUCCCUCCUCUCUCACUUUUGACUUCUCUCUCUCUCUCUCUGCGUGUGUUUGCCUCAUUCUUUUUUUCUCACCUCUGCAAAGGUAACAGACAUGAUGCAGAAAGCCCUCUUUGAUUUCCUGAAGCACAGGUUUGAUGGGAGGAUAUCAAUAACGAGAGUGACAGCUGACAUUUCUCUUGCUAAGAGGUCUGUCCUAAAUAAUCCCAGCAAGAGAGCAAUAAUUGAACGUUCGAACACCCGGUCCAGCUUAGCGGAAGUACAAAGUGAAAUUGAAAGAAUCUUUGAGUUGGCAAGAUCUUUGCAACUGGUUGUUCUUGAUGCAGACACCAUCAAUCACCCAGCACAACUUAUAAAGACUUCCUUAGCACCAAUUAUUGUUCAUGUAAAAGUCUCAUCUCCAAAGGUUUUACAGCGGUUGAUUAAAUCUAGAGGAAAGUCACAAAGUAAACACUUGAAUGUUCAACUGGUGGCAGCUGAUAAACUUGCACAAUGCCCCCCAGAAAUGUUUGAUGUUAUAUUGGAUGAAAAUCAGCUUGAGGACGCGUGUGAACAUCUAGGGGAGUACCUGGAGGCGUACUGGCGUGCCACCCACACAACCAGUAGCACACCCAUGACCCCACUGCUGGGAAGGAAUUUGGGCUCCACAGCACUUUCACCAUAUCCCACAGCAAUUUCUGGGUUACAGAGUCAGCGAAUGAGGCACAGCAACCACUCCACAGAGAACUCUCCAAUUGAAAGACGAAGUCUAAUGACCUCUGAUGAAAAUUAUCACAAUGAAAGGGCUCGGAAGAGUAGGAACCGCUUGUCUUCCAGUUCUCAGCAUAGCCGAGAUCAUUACCCUCUUGUGGAAGAAGAUUACCCUGACUCAUACCAGGACACUUACAAACCCCAUAGGAACCGAGGAUCACCUGGGGGAUAUAGCCAUGACUCCCGACAUAGGCUUUGAGUCUAAUGAAACAAAAAAUAUUCAUCUGUUGACAAUUUGCCAUAGCAGUGCUAGGAUAAACCAAUCAUCUUAACUUGGCUAACAUAGCACAGUAUUUACUGUGCUAAUGGGCUGCUGUCAUUUUAUGC
Molecule: small RNA, 3092 nt
Filed under: Pongo abelii (Sumatran orangutan)
Lineage: Eukaryota; Metazoa; Chordata; Mammalia; Primates; Hominidae
Description: retained intron
Source: RNAcentral